Molecule: ribosomal RNA, 421 nt
Filed under: uncultured Prevotellaceae bacterium
Lineage: Bacteria; Pseudomonadati; Bacteroidota; Bacteroidia; Bacteroidales; Prevotellaceae
Description: bacterial SSU rRNA
Rfam family: Bacterial small subunit ribosomal RNA
Source: RNAcentral
GAUGAACGCUAGCUACAGGCUUAACACAUGCAAGUCGAGGGGAAACGGGCGCCAAGCUUGCUUGGUGCAGUCGUCGACCGGCGAAUGGGUGAGUAACGCGUAUCCAACCUGGCCGUAAGCAGAGAAUAGGCUUCCGAAAGAAAGAUUAAUGCUCUAUGUAGUCACCCGAAGACAUCGGAAGGUGACCAAAGAUCCGUCGCUUACGGAUGGGGAUGCGUCUGAUUAGGCAGUUGGCGGGGCAAAGGCCCACCAAACCGACGAUCAGUAGGGGUUCUGAGAGGAAGGUCCCCCACAUUGGAACUGAGACACGGUCCAAACUCCUACGGGAGGCAGCAGUGAGGAAUAUUGGUCAAUGGGCGAGAGCCUGAACCAGCCAAGUAGCGUGCAGGACGACGGCCCUAUGGGUUGUAAACUGCUUUUG